CAAUCUACCCUUCCGUCCGGGAUAACUAGCCGAAAGGUUAGCUAAUACCAGAUACGCUCAUCGAACGGCAUCGUUUGAUGAUGAAAGCAGCAAUGCGCGGAUUGAGGAGCCUGCGGCCCAUUAGCUAGUUGGUGAGGGUAACGGCCCACCAAGGCAACGAUGGGUAGCUGGUCUGAGAGGACGACCAGCCACACUGGGACUGAGACACGGCCCAG
This 215-nucleotide ribosomal RNA is filed under the name uncultured bacterium. Its description in RNAcentral is "partial 16S ribosomal RNA". It matches the Rfam family "Bacterial small subunit ribosomal RNA", at positions 122 to 334 of the family's 1533-position model. The record is from RNAcentral.